This 466-nucleotide ribosomal RNA is filed under the name uncultured bacterium. RNAcentral's name for it is "partial 16S ribosomal RNA". It matches the Rfam family "Bacterial small subunit ribosomal RNA", at positions 28 to 507 of the family's 1533-position model. The record is from RNAcentral.
GACGAACGCUGGCGGCGCGCCUAACACAUGCAAGUCGAACGAGCGAGAGAGAGCUUGCUUUCUUGAGCGAGUGGCGAACGGGUGAGUAACGCGUGAGGAACCUGCCUCAAAGAGGGGGACAACAGUUGGAAACGACUGCUAAUACCGCAUAAGCCCACGGUGCCGCAUGGCACAGAGGGAAAAGGAGCAAUCCGCUUUGAGAUGGCCUCGCGUCCGAUUAGCUAGUUGGUGAGGUAACGGCCCACCAAGGCGACGAUCGGUAGCCGGACGGAGAGGUUGAACGGCCACAUUGGGACUGAGGCACGGCCCAGACUCCUACGGGAAGCAGCAGUGGGGAAUAUUGCACAAUGGGGGAAACCCUGAUGCAGCGACGCCGCGUGGAGGAAGAAGGUCUUCGGAUUGUAAACUCCUGUUGUUGGGGAAGAUAAUGACGGUACCCAACAAGGAAGUGACGGCUAACUACGUG